GAAACCGGAAAAGAACAAAAAAAAAAAAGAUAACAAUAGUAAGGGAAAAACAAAACAAUUCCAAUACUUCCUAUUUCAUGGUCAUACCCACACAAACUGGACAAAAACAAAAAGAAAGAAAAGAAAAGUGUUGCAAAUAGUUGAGGUCGGGUCUUCGUUUGAGUUUCCGAUGACGAUUUUUUUUUUUCAAUUUUAAUUCAUC
RNAcentral lists this long non-coding RNA (202 nucleotides) under Capsicum annuum. Its description in RNAcentral is "long non-coding RNA (CANN_LNC003435)". Lineage: Eukaryota; Viridiplantae; Streptophyta; Magnoliopsida; Solanales; Solanaceae. The record is from RNAcentral.